Molecule: ribosomal RNA, 804 nt
Filed under: Triticum aestivum (bread wheat)
Lineage: Eukaryota; Viridiplantae; Streptophyta; Magnoliopsida; Poales; Poaceae
Description: partial small subunit ribosomal RNA
Source: RNAcentral
AUGGAGCGCGGCGGCGGUAAAAUUUCCCCAAUCUCUCCGCCUCCCUCCCACUCCACUGCGACCAGCUCUCUUGGCGCCUUCCAUCCAUCCCCCCGCCCCCCUCCGCGACCAGCUCCCGCCAGGCGGCCGAGCCCUAGCGGAGCGCCAUGGACUCGGCGGUGCUCCCGCGCACCUUCGCCGGCCUCGGCGGCGGCGCCCCAAAGGAGGAGGACGACGACGGAGGCGCCGGCGGCUACGUCAAGGGCGAGCACUGCCUCGGUACCCCACCCCAACGCCCCUACUCUCGCGCCUCACCUCCGGCCUUUCGCUGUUCGCCGACUCCCGCUGCGCGUUUGUGCUGACAAUCUGAAGGAUCUGCAGAGGCUGCUGCGGCGGGAGGUCUUCAGGCAGGUCCGCGAGUGGAAGUUCGCGUCCAGGGGUCCGGCGCCCAUCAUCGAGAGCCACCAGUCCGACCGCAACCUCGGCAUCACGGCAGUAAUUUGUAGUUGCUCGCUAUUAAGUCUAGCCUGCAUUUUCAGGCGCAGAAGGAGAAUGCUGCACGGGUUAAGCGGUGAGCAUGACAGCAUCGAUAAUCGUCCAGUAUCAUCUGAUGAAGAAACAUUGCAAGCACGCAAGCGCAGAACCAAAACUAAGGAGCUACCAGCGGUGGAUCUUUCACCAAGUAUAUCACAACAUCAAGAGACUUUGCAAGGCACGGAUUCUGAUGAUGACACCAUAGGAUUUACUCGCCAAGUCGCCAUUAAGUCUAGCCUGCAUUUUCAGGCGCAUAAGGAAAAGGCUGGAUGGGUUAAGCAGGAAGUAUGA